GCGACCGGCGCACGGGUGAGUAACACGUAUCCAACCUGCCGUCUACUCUUGGACAGCCUUCUGAAAGGAAGAUUAAUACAAGAUGGCAUCAUGAGUCCGCAUGUUCACAUGAUUAAAGGUAUUCCGGUAGACGAUGGGGAUGCGUUCCAUUAGAUAGUAGGCGGGGUAACGGCCCACCUAGUCUUCGAUGGAUAGGGGUUCUGAGAGGAAGGUCCCCCACAUUGGAACUGAGACACGGUCCAAACUCCUACGGGAGGCAGCAGUGAGGAAUAUUGGUCAAUGGGCGAGAGCCUGAACCAGCCAAGUAGCGUGAAGGAUGACUGCCCUAUGGGUUGUAAACUUCUUUUAUAAAGGAAUAAAGUCGGGUAUGCAUACCCGUUUGCAUGUACUUUAUGAAUAAGGAUCGGCUAACUCCGUGCCAGCAGCCGCGGUAAUACGGAGGAUCCGAGCGUUAUCCGGAUUUAUUGGGUUUAAAGGGAGCGUAGAUGGAUGUUUAAGUC
RNAcentral lists this ribosomal RNA (500 nucleotides) under uncultured bacterium. RNAcentral's name for it is "bacterial SSU rRNA". It matches the Rfam family "Bacterial small subunit ribosomal RNA", at positions 91 to 589 of the family's 1533-position model. The record is from RNAcentral.